Molecule: ribosomal RNA, 235 nt
Filed under: uncultured Glomus
Lineage: Eukaryota; Fungi; Glomeromycota; Glomeromycetes; Glomerales; Glomeraceae
Description: partial 18S ribosomal RNA
Rfam family: Eukaryotic small subunit ribosomal RNA (bases 45-235)
Source: RNAcentral
GACCAAUAUGUCGGUCGUGCUUUUGUACGUACUGAUAUAAUUGGUUUCUCCCUUCUGAAGAACCUUGAUGUCAUUAAUUUGGUGUCUUGGGGAAUCAGGACUGUUACUUUGAAAGAUUAGAGUGUUUAAAGCAGGCUCGCGCUUGAAUACAUUAGCAUGGAAUAAUGAAAUAGGACGUUUGAUUCUAUUUUGUUGGUUUCUAGGAUCGACGUAAUGAUUAAUAGGGAUAGUUGGG